GGCGCACGGGUGCGUAACGCGUAUGCAACCUACCUUAAUCAGGGGGAUAGCCCGAAGAAAUUCGGAUUAACACCGCAUAAAAUCACAGUACAGCAUUGUACAAUGAUCAAAUAUUUAUAGGAUUAAGAUGGGCAUGCGUGUCAUUAGUUAGUUGGCGAGGUAACGGCUCACCAAGACCACGAUGACUAGGGGAUCUGAGAGGAUGACCCCCCACACUGGUACUGAGACACGGACCAGACUCCUACGGGAGGCAGCAGUAAGGAAUAUUGGUCAAUGGAGGCAACUCUGAACCAGCCAUGCCGCGUGCAGGAAGACAGCCCUCUGGGUCGUAAACUGCUUUUAUUCGGGAAUAAACCUACUUACGUGUAAGUAGCUGAAUGUACCGAAGGAAUAAGGAUCGGCUAACUCCGUGCCAGCAGCCGCGGUAAUACGGAGGAUCCAAGCGUUAUCCGGAUUUAUUGGGUUUAAAGGGUGCGUAGGCGGCUUAUUAAGUCAGGGGUGAAAGACGGUGGCUCAACCAUCGCAGUGCCCUUGAUACUGAUGAGCUUGAAUACACUAGAGGUAGGCGGAAUGUGACAAGUAGCGGUGAAAUGCAUAGAUAUGUCACAGAACACCGAUUGCGAAGGCAGCUUACUAUGGUGUCAUUGACGCUGAGGCACGAAAGCGUGGGGAUCAAACAGGAUUAGAUACCCUGGUAGUCCACGCCCUAAACGAUGAAUACUCGCUGUUAGCGAUACACAGUUAGCGGCUAAGCGAAAGCGUUAAGUAUUCCACCUGGGGAGUACGCCCGCAAGGGUGAAACUCAAAGGAAUUGACGGGGGCCCGCACAAGCGGAGGAGCAUGUGGUUUAAUUCGAUGAUACGCGAGGAACCUUACCCGGGCUUGAAAGUUAGUGAAUGAGAUAGAGAUAUUUCAGUGAGCAAUCACACGAAACUAGGUGCUGCAUGGCUGUCGUCAGCUCGUGCCGUGAGGUGUUGGGUUAAGUCCCGCAACGAGCGCAACCCCUAUGUUUAGUUGCCAGCACGUUAAGGUGGGGACUCUAAACAGACUGCCUGUGCAAACAGAGAGGAAGGAGGGGACGACGUCAAGUCAUCAUGGCCCUUACGUCCGGGGCUACACACGUGCUACAAUGGAUGGUACAGAGGGCAGCAAGCUGGCAACAGCAAGCAAAUCUCAAAAAGCCAUUCACAGUUCGGAUAGAGGUCUGCAACUCGACCUCUUGAAGUUGGAUUCGCUAGUAAUCGCGUAUCAGCAAUGACGCGGUGAAUACGUUCCCGGGCCUUGUACACACCGCCCGUCAAG
RNAcentral lists this ribosomal RNA (1302 nucleotides) under Pedobacter steynii. RNAcentral describes it as "bacterial SSU rRNA". It matches the Rfam family "Bacterial small subunit ribosomal RNA", at positions 97 to 1401 of the family's 1533-position model. Lineage: Bacteria; Pseudomonadati; Bacteroidota; Sphingobacteriia; Sphingobacteriales; Sphingobacteriaceae. The record is from RNAcentral.